RNAcentral lists this unclassified non-coding RNA (156 nucleotides) under uncultured Sordariomycetes. RNAcentral describes it as "sequence contains ITS1". The record is from RNAcentral. Lineage: Eukaryota; Fungi; Ascomycota; Sordariomycetes.
CAGAGUUGCAAAACUCCCAAACCCUUUGUGAACCUACCUAUCGUUGCUUCGGCAGGCAGCCCCAGGGCGGGGCUGUAGCCUUCACAAGGUGCCUGCCGGAGGAUUUUUAAACUCUGUAUUACUAUUGUUAUUCUGAGUAAAAACAUAAAUAAGUCA